GACGAACGCUGGCGGCGUGCCUAAUACAUGCAAGUUGAGCGCUGAAGGUUGGUACUUGUACCAACUGGAUGAGCAGCGAACGGGUGAGUAACGCGUGGGGAAUCUGCCUUUGAGCGGGGGACAACAUUUGGAAACGAAUGCUAAUACCGCAUAAAAACUUUAAACACAAGUUUUAAGUUUGAAAGAUGCAAUUGCAUCACUCAAAGAUGAUCCCGCGUUGUAUCAGCUAGUUGGUGAGGUAAAGGCUCACCAAGGCGAUGAUACAUAGCCGACCUGAGAGGGUGAUCGGCCACAUUGGGACUGGGACACGGCCCAAACUCCUACGGGAGGCAGCAGUAGGGAAUCUUCGGCAAUGGACGAAAGUCUGACCGAGCAACGCCGCGUGAGUGAAGAAGGUUGUCGGAUCGUAAAACUCUGUUGGUAGAGAAGAACGUUGGUGAGAGUGGAAAGCUCAUCAAGUGACGGUAACUACACAGAAAGGGACGGCUAACUACGUG
This 497-nucleotide ribosomal RNA is filed under the name uncultured bacterium. RNAcentral's name for it is "partial 16S ribosomal RNA". It matches the Rfam family "Bacterial small subunit ribosomal RNA", at positions 28 to 507 of the family's 1533-position model. The record is from RNAcentral.